CCUACGGGAGGCAGCAGUGAGGAAUAUUGGUCAAUGGGCUUACGCCUGAACCAGCCAAGUCGCGUGAGGGAAGACUGCCCUAUGGGUUGUAAACCUCUUUUGUCAGGGAGCAAUUGGCGCUACGUGUAGCGUUAUCGAGAGGACCUGAAGAAAAAGCAGCGGCGAACUCCGGGCCAGCAGCCGCGGGAAUACGGAGGAUCCGAGCGUGAUCCGGAUUUCUUGGGUUGAAAGGGAGCGUAGAUGGGUUGUUCAGUCAGUUGUGAAAAUUUGCGGCUCAACCGUACAAUUGCAAUUGAUACUGGCAGUCUUGAGCUGUCGAGAGGUAUGCGGAAUUCGCAGUGUAGCGGUGCAAUGCUUAGAUAUUGCGCAGAACUCCGAUUGCGAAGGCAGCAUACCGGCGUCGAUCUGACGCUGAGGCACGAAAGCGUGGGUAUCGAACAGGAUUAGAUACCCCAGUAGUC
This 461-nucleotide ribosomal RNA is filed under the name uncultured bacterium. RNAcentral describes it as "partial 16S ribosomal RNA". It matches the Rfam family "Bacterial small subunit ribosomal RNA", at positions 338 to 795 of the family's 1533-position model. The record is from RNAcentral.